Melitaea cinxia (Glanville fritillary) is the source of this 354-nucleotide long non-coding RNA. RefSeq lists it as uncharacterized. Lineage: Eukaryota; Metazoa; Arthropoda; Insecta; Lepidoptera; Nymphalidae. The transcript has 3 exons. The record is from RefSeq and is a predicted model, not a curated record.
AUUGUUCCUGUUCAAGUUGUUUCGCCGGAGUGAACAUUGCUGCACUCAUAGCUGACAUUCCCGGACAAGAAGCAAUUCAUUAGUCAGCAGGAAUACAUCAGGUCUUGGAUACGACAGAAGCUGCGAUCAUCAUACAUCAAGGAUACACAGUGAGCUGGACGAGUGUUCGGAUAUGCUUGAGGACGAGGCUCAGGGACGCGAGGCCUUCGAUUGCCAGUACUACUCUCUCGUGUCUGCCGGUCGUGCCUUGAUCCAGAGUCUUUCACUUCCUUCGCGGGACACUUCGGUUCCGCAGAAAACAAAGUGGAUGCUGUCGCAAGAGACGCUGAAGGAGGGUGCAUUGGUUGUGAUAAA